CGCACGUGUCUCUUUGUUAGCGGGUCAGAAAGCUACACGAAGCUAGCUCCAGGAGCUUCGGCGUUUUUCGAAGGACAAGAAUGUUUAAGCGAAAAAGAUGUUUUAGUCACGUACAGUAGCGAUGGCGUCCGGUAUCGAGGUUUCCAGCGCGUUCGGUAGUCAUUUAGGAAGAAUUACAUCCGGAAGCGGGUGUGGUAAAUGGGGAAAAAAACAACAACACUCCAGCUACGUAUGCCGUGUGCUGCCAUGACCGCUAGAUGGCAAUGUUGCCUCGGCCACGGCGUUCCAUGACGGGAACAGGAAGUAAAAAGAUUCUGACUUGGGUGUGAUUUGUUCCGAGCGACGCAAUAUUGAACGCGCUGCACCCAAACAACAUGAGUUAGAUUUUCGUGUCCGGGUUAACUUGUCUUGAAGCUUCUCGAGUGGGUUUAGCUUAGCUUAGUUUACCUUAGUUCGCUAGCAAAGAACAAAGAACAAAGCGUGUGCAAAUGUGUGCCAAAAGUGUGAAAGAAGAAGAGGACUCACUCGGAGCAGACGUCAGCGAAGAAGAUCUUCGUCACGAGACGCAGGAAGUGCACCCUUGCUGAGGUCGGAGAACCAUCGUGAAGGUCAACCGUUGCGAACGCAUUCCACCAAUCAGGCCUUUAUGGUGCCGGAGUCACGAAGCGAUUGUGAGGGCAAUAGGCGAUGAUCGCCUUGAUCAAUUAAUACAAAUAAUACCUCAC
Molecule: long non-coding RNA, 725 nt
Organism: Phycodurus eques (leafy seadragon)
Lineage: Eukaryota; Metazoa; Chordata; Actinopteri; Syngnathiformes; Syngnathidae
Exons: 3
Source: RefSeq, a predicted model, not a curated record